CCUACGGGUGGCAGCAGUGAGGAAUAUUGGUCAAUGGACGAGAGUCUGACCCAGCCAAGCCGCGUGAAGGAUGACUGCCCUAUGGGUUGUAAACUUCUUUUAUAAAGGAAUAAAACGAGGCACGUGUGCCCUUUUGCAUGUACUUUUUGAAUAAGGAUCGGCUAACUCCGUGCCAGCAGCCGCGGUAAUACGGAGGAUCCGAGCGUUAUCCGGGUUUAUUUGGUUUAAAGGGAGCGUAGAGGGGUUGUUAAGUCAGUUGUGAAAGUUUGCGGCUCAACCGUAAAAUUGCAAUUUAUACUGGCAGUCUUGAGUACAGGAGAGGUAGGCGGAAUUCGUGGUGUAGCGGUGAAAUGCUUAGAUAUCACGAAGAACUCCGAUGGCGAAGGCAGCUUACUAAACUGCCACUGACAUUGAUGCUCGAAAGUGUGGGUAUCAAACAGGAUUAGAUACCCUUGUAGUC
RNAcentral lists this ribosomal RNA (460 nucleotides) under uncultured bacterium. RNAcentral describes it as "partial 16S ribosomal RNA". It matches the Rfam family "Bacterial small subunit ribosomal RNA", at positions 338 to 795 of the family's 1533-position model. The record is from RNAcentral.